RNAcentral lists this transfer RNA (65 nucleotides) under Porotermes planiceps. Its description in RNAcentral is "tRNA-Glu". It matches the Rfam family "tRNA". From Rfam's summary of the family: Transfer RNA (tRNA) molecules are approximately 80 nucleotides in length. Lineage: Eukaryota; Metazoa; Arthropoda; Insecta; Blattodea; Termopsidae. The record is from RNAcentral.
AUUUAUGUAGUUUAAUAAAAACAUUACACUUUCACUGUAAAAACAAAGAAUAGCUUUCAUAAAUA